CCUGGUCUCACAUGAGGCUUCUUCCCACAGGAGGACAAGGAGGAAGCUACAUUCAGGCUGCAGGCUGCGACAGUGCCCAGGGCUCUGAUGUGUCUCUCAGCUGCUAAAGUGUGAGCCAGCUGCCUUGUGGGGGCUGAGUGAUGCAGCAUUUCUUCUCACCCCUUUGUAACUUCAAGAUCCUCUGGUUUCCUUUGCUGCAAAAGACAUCAGGAUGUGUCUCUGUUCUUAGGAGGUGGGGAAACUGGCCCAGCCCUGCCCACCAGGCCCCUCCCCACACUGACCUGUCUCUCCGUGAAGACUUUCCUGUUCCUGCAGAGGCAGCUUAGUCUGCGUCUACCCCGUCUCUGUGUUUUCCUCAGGAAUAGUAAAUACUUCCCUCUUAAAAUAAUAAUUGAAUUCUGAAAUUCUUUUUUUUUUUUUUAAUGUUCUGUGUUGGGAGAGACCCUGUGCAGCGAGCAGAAAGGCCUUAACCUGAGUCCCAAAGGCAUGUGAAAACACAUGCAUCUUGGAGGAAAACCUCUGAGUGACCAGACCUGGUGUUCAGUGCCCGGAAUGUGACCUGCGUGGACUCAGGCCUUUCUGUCUCCACAAUCUUAGAAUAACAAGAAAUAAUGAGUGAAAUUCCCAUGCUCUAGCUAGGAGGUGAUAAGAUUAUGUGCGUGAGAACUAACCACCUGGCACCCUACUGUCUGAAAUAGAUAAUAGUAAGAAAGCAGAAUAAUCAGUCAUAUCUACUGUCAUUACAUGGUAUGCUUUGAUGUUACACUUGCUGCACUUAAAGUAGUAUAUGAAAGAGCACUAAGGAAAUAAAGAUUCACUGCUUGCUGGACAUGACAGUCCCCCAUGUCUGAUUUCCUUCAUGGUUGCGUCCCAGGUCCAGGACUCACUAGACGUCCACAGUUGUGGAUUUAUUUUUUUUAAGAUUUAUUUAUUUAUGCAUACAAGAGCUGGGGUACAGGCCAGUGAUGCAGGAGGUGAGAGGAUUCACCAGAGACAGAGUGGGGAACAGAACAGGCAGACUGACUGAAAUACACUGCUGAGGGGAGCAAGGGGUGAGACAGGAGAGGUCUGCUGUGCUAUGUGGGUUUCUCCCUGGCUGGCCGGGCAUCGAAUUCAUGCUGCAGAGGCCAUGGAUUGCUUCAUAGUGUGGUACUUAACCCCUUGCACCACCAGGGAGGCCC
Molecule: long non-coding RNA, 1181 nt
Organism: Talpa occidentalis (Iberian mole)
Lineage: Eukaryota; Metazoa; Chordata; Mammalia; Eulipotyphla; Talpidae
Exons: 3
Source: RefSeq, a predicted model, not a curated record